UACAGAGGGUGCGAGCGUUGUUCGGAAUUAUUGGGCGUAAAGAGCUCGUAGGCGGUGUGUCGCGUCGGCCGUGAAAACCUGCAGCUUAACUGUGGGCUUGCGGUCGAUACGGGCAUCACUGGAGUUCGGCAGGGGAGACUGGAAUUCCUGGUGUAGCGGUGAAAUGCGCAGAUAUCAGGAGGAACACCGGUGGCGAAGGCGGGUCUCUGGGCCGAUACUGACGCUGAGGAGCGAAAGCGUGGGGAGCGAACAGG
This 254-nucleotide ribosomal RNA is filed under the name uncultured bacterium. RNAcentral's name for it is "partial 16S ribosomal RNA". It matches the Rfam family "Bacterial small subunit ribosomal RNA", at positions 524 to 776 of the family's 1533-position model. The record is from RNAcentral.